UUAUACGAGAGUGUCGCUUAUAUAUAGGUGAUCGAAAGGUUUACUGUGUGGCACAACAAGCACAAUAUACACACUGUACUAUACACACUGUGACACAAUAUCGUCUAUAUACUGUGUGUGUAUGCUUGUAUGUGUGUGCUGGUGUGUGUGUGUGUGUAUUACCCUUGAUAUGAUAUCAUGCAUGACACUCCAUCGAUGAAGAGAAGAUGAUUAAUACGAUUAUUAGUGAGUGUGGUUCGUAAUUCUUCUUACAUGCACCAGAUAGACCGCUAGUUUGAUUAUUAAGCAUCGAUGCUACUGAUAUCAGUAGCUUUUAUUAGCGAACAUAUAUGUAUAUACGUCUGUAUAUUACACGUAAAUGAUAUAUAAUAUUAUUUUAUUCAGCUAAUGAAAGUCAUGACUAUAUACGCGCUAGCGAGACACCAUCAUGUACACAGCUACGUAGCACAUGAGCAACCAAUCAUAUACAGCAUAUGGAGGUCCUCAUCAUGUGCUGGUGGUGUAUGCCAACCUUAUUAGUGAGGUUCUGUGCCAUGAUUUCUUAGAUCAUACAUGAUCAUGAUGAGGCACCUGCCUGCUGCAAGCGCUUGCAGCACGCAACCAGUCAUGCACUAAAAUUCAUGCUUGCAUGCAGCCACGCGUGGCUGCACACACAUGUGUCCAUAUGUAUGUCCAUAAUAAACUUUGGAAUUGCUUUCUCGCUCAUAUGAGCGAUCAUGCAUGAUCGGGCUUCAGGAUGCAGUUGCCUGCCGCUGGAUCGUAAUAAGUGUGUAGUGGAUAGCUAUAAAUAUAUAAUAUGUAUGUAACAUGUCGCCGUAGCUCCUACGAAGUAGCAAAGCGGAGGCCUUAGGCCGAUUCGCCGUCCCUCCGUCCGUCGCCGUAGCUCCUACGAAGUAGGAAAGCGGAGGCCUUAGGCCGAUUCGCCGUCCCUCCAUCCGUCCGUCUCUCUGUCCACCACGUCGCGGGUUCGAUCCCCCUCGCGUGCGCGUCUUUUUUUUUGCCUGCUUUUUUUUCUUUUUUUUUCUUCGUAUGCUUCAUAUGCUUCAUAUGCUUCAUAUGCACAUAUGCACAUAUGCUUCAUAUGCACAUAUGCUUCAUAUGCACAUAUGCACAUGUGUUUCGAUAUGCACGCAUGCUUCAUAUGCAAGCAUAUGCCGCAUGCGAUGUGCAAUCAUAUGUGAUCUGCAAGCAUAUACGAUCUGCAAGCAUAUACGAUCUGCAAGCAGCGCUGCCUUCCUGCUAGUCGCUUUUUCUAGCUUCGUCUUCUACGUGCCCUUCAUGUCUUCUUAUCCGCG
RNAcentral lists this long non-coding RNA (1295 nucleotides) under Volvox carteri. Its description in RNAcentral is "long non-coding RNA (VCAR_LNC003809)". Lineage: Eukaryota; Viridiplantae; Chlorophyta; Chlorophyceae; Chlamydomonadales; Volvocaceae. The record is from RNAcentral.